RNAcentral lists this ribosomal RNA (253 nucleotides) under uncultured bacterium. Its description in RNAcentral is "partial 16S ribosomal RNA". It matches the Rfam family "Bacterial small subunit ribosomal RNA", at positions 524 to 776 of the family's 1533-position model. The record is from RNAcentral.
UACGAAGGGGGCUAGCGUUGCUCGGAAUCACUGGGCGUAAAGGGUGCGUAGGCGGGUCUUUAAGUCAGGCGUGAAAUCCUGGAGCUCAACUCCAGAACUGCCUUUGAUACUGAAGAUCUUGAGUUCGGGAGAGGUGAGUGGAACUGCGAGUGUAGAGGUGAAAUUCGUAGAUAUUCGCAAGAACACCAGUGGCGAAGGCGGCUCACUGGCCCGAUACUGACGCUGAGGCACGAAAGCGUGGGGAGCAAACAGG